This 231-nucleotide long non-coding RNA is filed under the name Elaeis guineensis (African oil palm). Its description in RNAcentral is "long non-coding RNA (EGUI_LNC004026)". Lineage: Eukaryota; Viridiplantae; Streptophyta; Magnoliopsida; Arecales; Arecaceae. The record is from RNAcentral.
ACAGCCUUAGCUAUAUCGAUCAAUAAAAUUUGAUUUCGACGGUCGCGAAUGACUGCAUGAUGAUCUGAUAAAUAGAGACCAUCGAUGGAUCCAAAAUUUUAUAAUAAUAAUCUCGAUGAUAUUUAUAGUAUACUAUCAAAAUUUUACUUCAAUUAGACAUCAUUAUCAUAGUCAAUUUAGUACGAGAUAAUUUCAAUCGUUAAAUAAAAAAUGAGUGAUCAAAAGGCCAAA